Molecule: ribosomal RNA, 253 nt
Filed under: uncultured bacterium
Lineage: Bacteria
Description: partial 16S ribosomal RNA
Rfam family: Bacterial small subunit ribosomal RNA
Source: RNAcentral
UACGAAGGGGGCGAGCGUUGUUCGGAUUUACUGGGCGUAAAGGGCGCGUAGGCGGCCUUGUCAGUCAGGCGUGAAAGCCCCGGGCUCAACCUGGGAACGGCGCUUGGGACGGCGAGGCUGGAGUUCGGGAGAGGAGAGUGGAAUUCCCGGUGUAGAGGUGAAAUUCGUAGAUAUUGGGAAGAACACCGGUGGCGAAGGCGGCUCUCUGGACCGACACUGACGCUGAGGCGCGAAAGCGUGGGGAGCAAACAGG